RNAcentral lists this ribosomal RNA (227 nucleotides) under uncultured bacterium. RNAcentral describes it as "partial 16S ribosomal RNA". It matches the Rfam family "Bacterial small subunit ribosomal RNA", at positions 383 to 607 of the family's 1533-position model. The record is from RNAcentral.
CUGAACCAGCCAAGUAGCGUGAAGGAUGACUGCCCUAUGGGUUGUGAACUUCUUUUAUACGGGAAUAAAGUGAGGCACGUGUGCCUUUUUGUAUGUACCGUAUGAAUAAGGAUCGGCUAACUCCGUGUCAGCAGCCGCGGUAAUACGGAGGAUCCGAGCGUUAUCCGGAUUUAUUGGGUUUAAAGGGAGCGUAGGCGGACGCUUAAGUCAGUUGUGAAAGUUUGCGG